UACGUAGGGGGCGAGCGUUGUCCGGAUUCAUUGGGCGUAAAGAGCGUGUAGGCGGCCAGGUAGGUCUGCUGUGAAAACUCGAGGCUCAACCUCGAGACGUCGGCGGAAACCAUCUGGCUAGAGUCCGGAAGAGGAGAGUGGAAUUCCUGGUGUAGCGGUGAAAUGCGCAGAUAUCAGGAAGAACACCCGUGGCGAAGGCGGCUCUCUGGGACGGUACUGACGCUGAGACGCGAAAGCGUGGGGAGCGAACAGG
RNAcentral lists this ribosomal RNA (253 nucleotides) under uncultured bacterium. RNAcentral describes it as "partial 16S ribosomal RNA". It matches the Rfam family "Bacterial small subunit ribosomal RNA", at positions 524 to 776 of the family's 1533-position model. The record is from RNAcentral.